UUCCACGGGCUCUCCAAAAUCUUGAAGGCCAGAUUUGAAGAAAUAUCCUAAAAAUAUGUCUUCUUAUUCGUUAAUCAAUGAUGUGGUAUGUAAUUCUAACUUUAGAUAUGCAAUUAGAACUUUCUCCUUGAUUGCAAGUCUGAACUACCAUUGUAAAUCUGAGCAUUCAUCUUUAAAAUGAGUUGCUAGCUGUUCUACCUUUUGGUUCUUAUCUGAGUCUUGGAUUGGAUUCCGGGUGGACUUGUCAUUCCAGUUAUUUAGGGGUCGUUUGAUAGGGUGUAUAAGAAUGGUAGUAUUAAGUAAGGUGUAUUAGUGAUCUUGUGAUUAGUUAUACUGGGAUUAUUUCUUAUACACUGUUUGGUUUGGUAUAUUGAAGGCCAGAAUUGAAGAAAUAUCCUAAAAAUAUGUCUUCUUAUUCGUUAAUCAAUGAUGUGGUAUAUAAUUCUACCUUUAGAUAUGCAAUUAGAACUUUCUCCUUGAUUGCAAGUCUGAACUACCAUUGUAAAUCUGAGCAUUCAUCUUUAAAAUGAGUUGCUAGCUGUUCUACCUUUUGGUUCUUAUCUGAGUCUUGGAUUGGACUCCGGGUGGACUAGUCAUUCCAGUUAUUUAGGGGUCGUUUGAUAGGGUGUAUAAGAAUGGUAUU
Molecule: long non-coding RNA, 643 nt
Filed under: Nicotiana tabacum (common tobacco)
Lineage: Eukaryota; Viridiplantae; Streptophyta; Magnoliopsida; Solanales; Solanaceae
Description: long non-coding RNA (NTAB_LNC016668)
Source: RNAcentral